UACGAAGGGGGCUAGCGUUGCUCGGAAUCACUGGGCGUAAAGGGUGCGUAGGCGGGUCUUUAAGUCAGGGGUGAAAUCCUGGAGCUCAACUCCAGAACUGCCUUUGAUACUGAGGAUCUUGAGUCCGGGAGAGGUGAGUGGAACUGCGAGUGUAGAGGUGAAAUUCGUAGAUAUCGGGAAGAACACCCGUGGCUAAGGCGGCUCUCUAGUACGGUACUGACGCUGAGACGCGAAAGCGUGGGGAGCGAACAGG
Molecule: ribosomal RNA, 253 nt
Filed under: uncultured bacterium
Lineage: Bacteria
Description: partial 16S ribosomal RNA
Rfam family: Bacterial small subunit ribosomal RNA
Source: RNAcentral